This 253-nucleotide ribosomal RNA is filed under the name uncultured bacterium. Its description in RNAcentral is "partial 16S ribosomal RNA". It matches the Rfam family "Bacterial small subunit ribosomal RNA", at positions 524 to 776 of the family's 1533-position model. The record is from RNAcentral.
UACGAAGGGGGCUAGCGUUGCUCGGAAUGACUGGGCGUAAAGGGCGCGUAGGCGGUUUGGUCAGUUAGAUGUGAAAUUCCUGGGCUUAACCUGGGGGCUGCAUUUAAUACGGCUAGACUAGAGUGUGAAAGAGGGUCGUGGAAUUCCCAGUGUAGAGGUGAAAUUCGUAGAUAUUGGGAAGAACACCGGUGGCGAAGGCGGCGACCUGGUUCAUUACUGACGCUGAGGCGCGAAAGCGUGGGGAGCAAACAGG